Molecule: ribosomal RNA, 496 nt
Filed under: uncultured bacterium
Lineage: Bacteria
Description: partial 16S ribosomal RNA
Rfam family: Bacterial small subunit ribosomal RNA
Source: RNAcentral
GAUGAACGCUGGCGGCGUGCCUAAUACAUGCAAGUCGAGCGAACGGACGAGAAGCUUGCUUCUCUGAUGUUAGCGGCGGACGGGUGAGUAACACGUGGAUAACCUACCUAUAAGACUGGGAUAACUUCGGGAAACCGGAGCUAAUACCGGAUAAUAUUUUGAACCGCAUGGUUCAAAAGUGAAAGACGGUCCUGCUGUCACUUAUAGAUGGAUCCGCGCUGCAUUAGCUAGUUGGUAAGGUAACGGCUUACCAAGGCAACGAUGCAUAGCCGACCUGAGAGGGUGAUCGGCCACACUGGAACUGAGACACGGGCCAGACUCCUACGGGAGGCAGAAGUAGGGAAGCUUCCGCAAUGGGCGAAAGCCUGACGGAGCAACGCCGCGUGAGUGAUGAAGGUCUUCGGAUCGUAAAACUCUGUUAUUAGGGAAGAACAUAUGUGUAAGUAACUGUGCACAUCUGGACGGUACCUAAUCAGAAAGCCACGGCUAACUACGU